UGGGGGUUCGCCAAAUUGGUAAGGCAUCAAGUUUUGAUCUUGAAUUUUACAGGUUCGAUCCCUGUACCUCCAG
This 73-nucleotide transfer RNA is filed under the name Petrosia ficiformis. Its description in RNAcentral is "tRNA-Gln". It matches the Rfam family "tRNA". From Rfam's summary of the family: Transfer RNA (tRNA) molecules are approximately 80 nucleotides in length. Their secondary structure includes four short double-helical elements and three loops (D, anti-codon, and T loops). Further hydrogen bonds mediate the characteristic L-shaped molecular structure. tRNAs have two regions of fundamental functional importance: the anti-codon, which is responsible for specific mRNA codon recognition, and the 3' end, to which the tRNAs corresponding amino acid is attached (by aminoacyl-tRNA synthetases). tRNAs cope with the degeneracy of the genetic code in two manners: having more than one tRNA (with a specific anti-codon) for a particular amino acid; and 'wobble' base-pairing, i.e. permitting non-standard base-pairing at the 3rd anti-codon position. The record is from RNAcentral. Lineage: Eukaryota; Metazoa; Porifera; Demospongiae; Haplosclerida; Petrosiidae.